Molecule: unclassified non-coding RNA, 378 nt
Filed under: plant metagenome
Description: partial contains 5.8S ribosomal RNA, internal transcribed spacer 2, and large subunit ribosomal RNA
Rfam family: 5.8S ribosomal RNA (bases 1-105)
Source: RNAcentral
GAAAUGCGAUAAGUAAUGUGAAUUGCAGAAUUCAGUGAAUCAUCGAAUCUUUGAACGCACCUUGCGCUCCUUGGUAUUCCUUGGAGCAUGCCUGUUUGAGUAUCAUGAAAUCUUCAAAGUAAAUCUUUUGUUAACUCAAUUGGUUUCUACUUUGGUAUUGGAGGUCUUUGCAGCUUCACACCUGCUCCUCUUUGUUCAUUAGCUGGAUCUCAGUGUUAUGCUUGGUUCCACUCGGCGUGAUAAGUUAUCUAUCGCUGAGGACACUGUAAAAGGUGGCCAAGGUAAAUGCAGAUGAACCGCUUCUAAUAUUCCAUUGACUUGGACAAUACUUUUAUGAUCUGAUCUCAACUCAGGUAGGACUACCCGCUGAACUUAAGC